RNAcentral lists this ribosomal RNA (751 nucleotides) under bacterium. RNAcentral describes it as "bacterial SSU rRNA". It matches the Rfam family "Bacterial small subunit ribosomal RNA", at positions 708 to 1472 of the family's 1533-position model. The record is from RNAcentral.
ACCAAUUGCGAAGGCAGGUUACUAUGUCUUAACUGACGCUGAUGGACGAAAGCGUGGGGAGCGAACAGGAUUAGAUACCCUGGUAGUCCACGCCGUAAACGAUGCUAACUCGUUUUUGGGUUUUCGGAUUCAGAGACUAAGCGAAAGUGAUAAGUUAGCCACCUGGGGAGUACGUUCGCAAGAAUGAAACUCAAAGGAAUUGACGGGGGCCCGCACAAGCGGUGGAUUAUGUGGUUUAAUUCGAUGAUACGCGAGGAACCUUACCAAGGCUUAAAUGGGAAUUGAUCGGUUUAGAAAUAGACCUUCCUUCGGGCAAUUUUCAAGGUGCUGCAUGGUUGUCGUCAGCUCGUGCCGUGAGGUGUUAGGUUAAGUCCUGCAACGAGCGCAACCCCUGUCACUAGUUGCCAUCAUUCAGUUGGGGACUCUAGUGAGACUGCCUACGCAAGUAGAGAGGAAGGUGGGGAUGACGUCAAAUCAUCACGGCCCUUACGCCUUGGGCCACACACGUAAUACAAUGGCCGGUACAGAGGGCAGCUACACAGCGAUGUGAUGCAAAUCUCGAAAGCCGGUCUCAGUUCGGAUUGGAGUCUGCAACUCGACUCUAUGAAGCUGGAAUCGCUAGUAAUCGCGCAUCAGCCAUGGCGCGGUGAAUACGUUCCCGGGCCUUGUACACACCGCCCGUCAAGCCAUGGAAGUCUGGGGUACCUGAAGUCGGUGACCGUAAAAGGAGCUGCCUAGGUAAACCAUUGGU